GAUGAACGCUGGCGGCGUGCCUAAUACAUGCAAGUCGAGCGAACAGACGAGGAGCUUGCUCCUCUGACGUUAGCGGCGGACGGGUGAGUAACACGUGGAUAACCUACCUAUAAGACUGGGAUAACUUCGGGAAACCGGAGCUAAUACCGGAUAAUAUAUUGAACCGCAUGGUUCAAUAGUGAAAGACGGUUUUGCUGUCACUUAUAGAUGGAUCCGCGCCGCAUUAGCUAGUUGGUAAGGUAACGGCUUACCAAGGCAACGAUGCGUAGCCGACCUGAGAGGGUGAUCGGCCACACUGGAACUGAGACACGGUCCAGACUCCUACGGGAGGCAGCAGUAGGGAAUCUUCCGCAAUGGGCGAAAGCCUGACGGAGCAACGCCGCGUGAGUGAUGAAGGUCUUCGGAUCGGAAAACUCUGUUAUUAGGGAAGAACAAAUGUGUAAGUAACUAUGCACGUCUUGACGGUACCUAAUCAGAAAGCCACGGCUAACUACGUG
This 497-nucleotide ribosomal RNA is filed under the name uncultured bacterium. Its description in RNAcentral is "partial 16S ribosomal RNA". It matches the Rfam family "Bacterial small subunit ribosomal RNA", at positions 28 to 507 of the family's 1533-position model. The record is from RNAcentral.